Molecule: ribosomal RNA, 471 nt
Filed under: uncultured bacterium
Lineage: Bacteria
Description: partial 16S ribosomal RNA
Rfam family: Bacterial small subunit ribosomal RNA
Source: RNAcentral
GACGAACGCUGGCGGCGUGCUUAACACAUGCAAGUCGAACGAUGAAGCCUAGCUUGCUAGGUGGAUUAGUGGCGAACGGGUGAGUAAUACGUGAGUGACCUACCUUUGACUCUGGGAUAAGCCUGGGAAACUGGGUCUAAUACCGGAUACGACCAAUCUCCGCAUGGGGUGUUGGUGGAAAGCGUUAUGGAGUGGUUUUAGAUGGGCUCACGGCCUAUCAGCUUGUUGGUGAGGUAAUGGCUUACCAAGGCGACGACUGGUAGCCGGCCUGAGAGGGUGACCGGCCACACUGGGACUGAGACACGGCCCAGACUCCUACGGGAGGCAGCAGUGGGGAAUAUUGCACAAUGGGCGCAAGCCUGAUGCAGCGACGCCGCGUGAGGGAUGACGGCCUUCGGGUUGUAAACCUCUGUUAGCAUCGAAGAAGCGAAAGUGACGGUAGGUGCAGAGAAAGCGCCGGCUAACUACGUG